GCCCGUAGCUCAGCUUGGUAGAGCGGCAGGCUCAUAACCUGACGGUCAAGGGUUCAAAUGACGGUGUCUGAAAAUCCCUUCGGGCCCA
RNAcentral lists this transfer RNA (88 nucleotides) under Candidatus Marsarchaeota G2 archaeon OSP_D. RNAcentral's name for it is "tRNA-Met". It matches the Rfam family "tRNA". Rfam says of the family: Transfer RNA (tRNA) molecules are approximately 80 nucleotides in length. Their secondary structure includes four short double-helical elements and three loops (D, anti-codon, and T loops). The record is from RNAcentral. Lineage: Archaea; Thermoproteati; Thermoproteota.